UUAAAUUUGAUACUUUGGAAUUACAUAAGAGCCUAUACAAAUCAGUCUAGGGCGCUGCCAGACAGACAACGGUGUAAUGCAUAUUUUUAACUUUCUCAUUCUUUGCCUACAAUUUUUAAGCCAUUUGUAAAACGAUACGCGCCGUAGAAUAUAGAAAUACAGAAAUAGCUAACUAACUACGGUAUCCACUAAUGAGGCUGGCAGGCAUGUUGUAAACGCGAAAUGCAACACCGCACUCUCGCAAAUAAGUGUAUCAGUGCAGGAAACCCUUUUUGAGGGAAAACGAGAAACGAAUUGUGGCUGAUUGUGAAGCGGAACUUGAAAACACGAAAAAAACGUUAACUUAAGUUACACCGAAACUAAUACUCGUAUAUAUAGUAGUAGUAUAAAAAAAUUGCUUAAAAAACACGAUUUUGGCGCUCAGUUUGUAUGGCAGCUAUAUGCUAUAGUGAUCCAAUCUGAACAAUUGCUUUGCAGUUUGCACAUUUGUCUUGAAUAAUAACACUUGUCGAAGUCUUGAAGAUAUCUCGCUUUUCCGAUCGUUCAGUUUGUAUGACAGCUAUAUAAUACAGUGGUCCGAUCAAACAGCUUCUGCGGUGAUUACACUGAUAUCUUGGCCCAUAUCGUAAGCUAUGCUCAAUUUUGUGCAGAUAUCUCAUCAAAUACAAAAUGUUUCCAUACAAGAAAUAUGCCAGCUACAUGCUAUUAUGAUCCAAUAUCGGCGGUUUCGGCAAAUGAGAAUCUUCCUGGAGAGAAAAUUAUGUGUGGAAAGUUUCAGAUUGAUAUCUCAAAAGCCGGCGGACUAGAAGGCGUAUAUACAAACAUACGGACAGGCAGACAGACGACCAUGGCUAAAUUGAUUUAGCUCGUCAGGCUGUCGUCGUCCAUAUAAAUUUUAUAUUUUCUCCGACGUUUCCUUCUGAGUAUUAUAAACUUCGAGGCAAACUUAAUAUAGCCUGUACAGGUUAUAAUUAAGGAAACAAAGUUCGGUUAGAUACACCAGUUAUAUAUCCAUAUAGCUGAAAGUGACCGUGAAAAACGCUUAUCCUAAGGAAAUGUAAAAAAAUCCCAAGGGGUUAAUUUUAGAUGUUACGAAAGAUGUUGAAGAAAGGUUCCAGAUAACCAUUUGCAGUGGCAGCGUGUGCAAAAUAUUUAAAACAACUGGUUGUCAAAGACCAGGCGCACGGAAGAAGCCAUUUAUAUCAUUAAAGAACAGGUCGGCAGAGUUUUGGAAACGGGUUUUUCUCAGAUAAAAGCAAAUUUUGCAUAUUUGAAAUAAAAGAACAGAAGCUUGUUUGAAGAAAACCUGGUACUGCACUUAAUAAAAAAAAUAAAAAUAAACAGCAAAACACGAUGGUGGUAAUAUGUUGUGGCGGUUGAUAUCUAUAUCUGGUUAUUUCGGUUCCCCGAAAAUAAAAAAGACACGAUGUUUCAAGGUCAGUCAUGCAAAAGCAAAAUGGCGGAUAAAAGAUGCCACUAUCUUAUCUUCGUCAAUCCAAUCUUGACAGUUAGCGUGGGACAAAAUUUUCAGCAUGCAGGCCUAUUGAGCAAUGACCGGUAAGAUCUUCUACGAUUGCUGUAAGUUGAACCUUACUAAAAGCAAGUAUAAUAGUGAGUGAAAGUUCCGUGCUUAUGCAGAAGGACCAGCGUCUGUCACGCUCAGAUGAAGUUCAGAGGUCCAGCGACGAUAGAGGGCAACAACGUUCUCAAUCCGACGCAAUCGGGACAAGGCUAACCCAAAAAACAGCCUCCUCCUACUGCAGUAAAUUACAUCAAACACUACCUAACUACACCGCAAU
Molecule: long non-coding RNA, 1799 nt
Organism: Bactrocera neohumeralis
Lineage: Eukaryota; Metazoa; Arthropoda; Insecta; Diptera; Tephritidae
Exons: 3
Source: RefSeq, a predicted model, not a curated record